CAAGCGUGCACCACGCCUGGCUAAUUUUUGAAACUUUUCUACAGACGGGGUUGCGUCACGUUGCCCAGGGCAGUCUCGAACUCCUUAGACCAAGCCAUCCUCCCCCUCGGCCUCCCAAAGUGCUGGGAUUAUAGAGUCCAGCCAGCCUCAUGUUUUCUUUAAGCAGUCCCUCCCUGUUGCACAGUUGGAUAGUUUAUUUUUUUAUUUUUUUAGACAUGGUUUACCUCAGUCUCGCAGGACGGAGUGCUGUGAUGGGAUCACAGCUCAUGGCAGCCUUGAACCUUGGGGUUCAAGGAGCUGGGAAGUUGAGGUGAAACUACUGAGACUGGGUCGCGCCACGUUGCUGAGGCUGCUCUUUAACUCCUGGCCUGAAGGGAUCCUUCCGCCUCGGCCGCAUCCAGACAUAGUUUUCUAGUUUUGACCCACAGAAACAGUGCUGGGUCGGAGUUUGUCAACUACCCAUCUCCAGACAGCAACACAAAGGACCUGGCAGGGAGGUCGCGGUUACCAAGCUCCACUCUAAGGAGAAAACAGCCUAGCUCCAGGCACUGUACCGUCACUGUGACGUCGCGGAAGGCCCGGUGCUGUGACAUCGCCGAAGACACGCGCCUUCGGCGAACGCCCGUCCCCGUGACGUCACCAGAG
RNAcentral lists this long non-coding RNA (645 nucleotides) under Homo sapiens (human). RNAcentral's name for it is "HSALNT0123841". Lineage: Eukaryota; Metazoa; Chordata; Mammalia; Primates; Hominidae. The record is from RNAcentral.